This 1016-nucleotide ribosomal RNA is filed under the name uncultured bacterium. RNAcentral's name for it is "bacterial SSU rRNA". It matches the Rfam family "Bacterial small subunit ribosomal RNA", at positions 357 to 1376 of the family's 1533-position model. The record is from RNAcentral.
AGGAAUAUUGGUCAAUGGGCGAGAGCCUGAACCAGCCAAGUAGCGUGAAGGAUGACUGCCCUAUGGGUUGUAAACUUCUUUUAUAAAGGAAUAAAGUCGGGUAUGUAUACCCGUUUGCAUGUACUUUAUGAAUAAGGAUCGGCUAACUCCGUGCCAGCAGCCGCGGUAAUACGGAGGAUCCGAGCGUUAUCCGGAUUUAUUGGGUUUAAAGGGAGCGUAGAUGGAUGUUUAAGUCAGUUGUGAAAGUUUGCGGCUCAACCGUAAAAUUGCAGUUGAUACUGGCGACCUUGAGUGCAACAGAGGUAGGCGGAAUUCGUGGUGUAGCGGUGAAAUGCUUAGAUAUCACGAAGAACUCCGAUUGCGAAGGCAGCCUGCUAAGCUGCAACUGACAUUGAGGCUCGAAAGUGUGGGUAUCAAACAGGAUUAGAUACCCUGGUAGUCCACACGGUAAACGAUGAAUACUCGCUGUUUGCGAUAUACUGCAAGCGGCCAAGCGAAAGCGUUAAGUAUUCCACCUGGGGAGUACGCCGGCAACGGUGAAACUCAAAGGAAUUGACGGGGGCCCGCACAAGCGGAGGAACAUGUGGUUUAAUUCGAUGAUACGCGAGGAACCUUACCCGGGCUUAAAUUGCAGAUGAAUUACGGUGAAAGCCGUAAGCCGCAAGGCAUCUGUGAAGGUGCUGCAUGGUUGUCGUCAGCUCGUGCCGUGAGGUGUCGGCUUAAGUGCCAUAACGAGCGCAACCCUUGUUGUCAGUUACUAACAGGUUCCGCUGAGGACUCUGACAAGACUGCCAUCGUAAGAUGUGAGGAAGGUGGGGAUGACGUCAAAUCAGCACGGCCCUUACGUCCGGGGCUACACACGUGUUACAAUGGGGGGUACAGAGGGCCGCUACCACGCGAGUGGAUGCCAAUCCCCAAAACCUCUCUCAGUUCGGACUGGAGUCUGCAACCCGACUCCACGAAGCUGGAUUCGCUAGUAAUCGCGCAUCAGCCACGGCGCGGUGAAUACGUUCCCG